RNAcentral lists this ribosomal RNA (301 nucleotides) under uncultured bacterium. Its description in RNAcentral is "partial 16S ribosomal RNA". It matches the Rfam family "Bacterial small subunit ribosomal RNA", at positions 509 to 807 of the family's 1533-position model. The record is from RNAcentral.
CAGUAGCCACGGGAACACGAAGGGUGCAAGCGUUUAUCGGAAUUACUGGGCGUAAAGCGUGCGUAGGCGGUGAGUUAAGUCUGCUGUGAAAUCCCCGGGCUCAACCUGGGAAUGGCAGUGGAUACUGGCUCGCUAGAGUGUGUCAGAGGAUGGUGGAAUUCCCGGUGUAGCGGUGAAAUGCGUAGAGAUCGGGAGGAACAUCAGUGGCGAAGGCGGCCAUCUGGGACAACACUGACGCUGAGGCACGAAAGCGUGGGGAGCAAACAGGAUUAGAUACCCGCGUAGUCCCUGUCUCUUAUAC